Molecule: ribosomal RNA, 328 nt
Filed under: Lumbricus terrestris (common earthworm)
Lineage: Eukaryota; Metazoa; Annelida; Clitellata; Crassiclitellata; Lumbricidae
Also listed under: 4 other names
Description: partial large subunit ribosomal RNA
Rfam family: Eukaryotic large subunit ribosomal RNA
Source: RNAcentral
AUUACUAAGCGGAGGAAAAGAAACUAACAAGGAUUCCCUCAGUAACGGCGAGUGAAGCGGGAAUAGCCCAGCACCGAAUCCCCCGGCCUUGGCCGGCGGGAACUGUGGUGUUCGGGACGACCUUCGUUCGUCGGCCGGUCGCCCGAGUCCUCCUGAUCGGGGCCCUACCCAGAGCGGGUGUAAGGCCUCUACGGCGUCUGGCCGGCGAGCCCGGGGAGUCCUCGGAGUCGGGUUGUUUGAGAUUGCAGCCCAAAGCGGGUGGUAAACUCCAUCUAAGGCUAAAUACUGGCACGAGUCCGAUAGCGAACAAGUACCGUGAGGGAAAGUU